AUGCUAUUUCUUUCAGACAACAACAUUACUGGCACGGUGCCGAAGGAGCUCGCUGAGUUGCCAGCACUGAGAAAGGUCGAUCUGUCAAAUAACAAUCUAUAUGGGAAGCUUCCUGAAUUUCGCAAGAAUGUGGAGGUGAUACUUGAUGGCAACCCAAACUUUGGCAAGCCUGCUCCUGCGCCUGGACCAGGUGGUAGCAGCAAUGACACUAAGCCUGGGGAUGAAAGUGGUGGAAGCAACAAGAGAUCCUCUUCUACCGGUGUCAUUGUUGGGUCAGUGGUUGGAGCUGUUGCUGUACUAGGCCUUAUUGCUGCAUUAGGAUUCUAUUGCUAUAAGAGAAAGCAGAAGCCUUCCGGAAGGGUGCAGAGUCCACAUGCUAUGGUCAUCCAUCCCAGGCACUCAGGGUCAGACCCUGACAUGGUAAAGAUCACAGUUGCUGGGGGAAAUGCCAAUGGUGGUGCGGCCACGAGCGAGCCAUAUAGCCAGGCAAGCAGUGCCCCCCGUGAUAUCCAUGUCGUUGAGGCUGGGAAUAUGGUCAUUUCAAUUCAAGUACUGCGUAAUGUGACCAACAACUUCAGUCAGGAGAACAUCCUUGGUCGUGGUGGGUUUGGCACUGUCUACAAGGGUGAGCUCCAUGAUGGUACAAAAAUUGCUGUGAAGCGAAUGGAGUCUGGUGUUAUGGGCAACAAGGGGCUAAACGAGUUUAAAUCAGAGAUUUCUGUGCUGACCAAGGUCCGUCAUCGGAACCUUGUGUCACUGCUUGGAUACUGUCUUGAUGGUAAUGAGAGGAUUCUUGUAUACGAGUACAUGCCACAGGGUCCAGUGAGCCAACACCUGUUUGAGUGGAAAGAACACAAUUUGCAGCCGUUGGAAUGGAAGAGGCGACUCAGCAUUGCGCUUGAUGUUGCAAGAGGUGUUGAGUACCUGCACAGCCUUGCUCAGCAAACGUUCAUCCACAGAGACUUGAAACCAUCAAAUAUACUUCUUGGUGAUGACAUGAAGGCCAAGGUGGCAGACUUUGGAUUGGUGCGGCUUGCGCCAGCUGAUGGGAAGUGUGUAUCAGUAGAGACAAGGCUUGCUGGAACUUUUGGAUAUCUUGCCCCCGAGUAUGCAGUUACUGGACGUGUGACCACAAAAGCUGAUGUCUUCAGCUUUGGUGUCAUUUUGAUGGAGCUGGUGACGGGACGCAGGGCGCUUGAUGACACACAGCCUGAGGAUAGCAUGCACCUGGUUACAUGGUUCCGGAGAAUGCAGCUCAACAAUGAUACGUUCCAGAAGGCGAUCGACACAAGCAUGGAGCUUGAUGAGGAGACCUUAGCCAGCGUUAGCACGGUCGCACAGCUCGCGGGUCACUGCUGUGCUAGGGAACCACAUCAGAGGCCCGACAUGGGUCAUGCCGUGAACGUGCUCUCUACUCUUUCGGAAGUGUGGAAACCCGCAGACCCAGAUUCAGACGACAGUUACGGCAUCGACCUGGACAUGACGCUGCCUCAGGCGUUGAAGAAAUGGCAGGCCUUUGAGGACAGCAGCCAUUUUGACGGUGCGACCUCUUCGUUCCUGGCGAGCUUGGAUAACACCCAGACCAGCAUCCCGACGCGGCCUCCAGGGUUUGCUGAUUCCUUCACCUCCGCCGACGGAAGAUAA
This 1644-nucleotide ribosomal RNA is filed under the name Triticum aestivum (bread wheat). RNAcentral describes it as "partial small subunit ribosomal RNA". The record is from RNAcentral. Lineage: Eukaryota; Viridiplantae; Streptophyta; Magnoliopsida; Poales; Poaceae.